RNAcentral lists this non-coding RNA (24 nucleotides) under Arabidopsis thaliana (thale cress). The record is from RNAcentral. Lineage: Eukaryota; Viridiplantae; Streptophyta; Magnoliopsida; Brassicales; Brassicaceae.
UAUGAUUACAACAAGUGGAACGAU